GAUCCUGGCUCAGAAUCAACGCCGGCGGCGCGCUUAACACAUGCAAGUCGCACGAGAAAGGGGAGCAAUCUCUGAGUACAGUGGCGUACGGGUGAGUAACACGUGGGUGAUCUACCCUUGAGUGGGGAAUAACCCUGGGAAACCGGGGCUAAUACCGCAUAAGCCUGAGAAGGGAAAGCCGAAAGGCGCUGAAGGAGGAGCCCGCGGCCGAUUAGCUAGUUGGUGGGGUAAAGGCUCACCAAGGCGAGGAUCGGUAGCCGGCCUGAGAGGGCACACGGCCACACUGGCACUGGGAUACGGGCCAGACUCCUACGGGAGGCAGCAGUGGGGAAUCUUGCACAAUGGAGGAAACUCUGAUGCAGCGACGCCGCGUGAGCGAUGAAGCCCUUCGGGGUGUAAAGCUCUUUCGACGGGAACGAUAAUGACGGUACCCGGAGAAGAAGCUGCGGCUAACUACGUGCCAGCAGCCGCGGUAAUACGUAGGCAGCAAGCGUUGUUCGGAAUUACUGGGCGUAAAGAGUGUGUAGGCGGUGCUCUAAGUUCGGUGUGAAAUCUCCCGGCUUAACUGGGAGGGUGCGCCGGAAACCGGAGUGCUUGAGCGCGGGAGAGGAAAGCGGAAUUCCUGGUGUAGCGGUGAAAUGCGUAGAUAUCAGGAGGAACACCUGUGGUGUAGACGGCUUUCUGGACCGU
Molecule: ribosomal RNA, 690 nt
Filed under: uncultured Acidobacteriota bacterium
Lineage: Bacteria; Pseudomonadati; Acidobacteriota
Description: bacterial SSU rRNA
Rfam family: Bacterial small subunit ribosomal RNA
Source: RNAcentral